RNAcentral lists this unclassified non-coding RNA (175 nucleotides) under air metagenome. RNAcentral's name for it is "partial contains small subunit ribosomal RNA, internal transcribed spacer 1, and 5.8S ribosomal RNA". The stretch from base 1 to 46 matches the Rfam family "Eukaryotic small subunit ribosomal RNA", at positions 1786 to 1831 of the family's 1831-position model. The record is from RNAcentral.
AAGUCGUAACAAGGUUUCCGUAGGUGAACCUGCGGAAGGAUCAUUAUUGAAGCUCUGCUUUAUACACACCUGUGAACCGUGCCCUUCGGGGUGAUUAUACAAACACUAUUGUUGUCUUUGAAUGUCUUGUUAUACCUAACAAAUAUAACUUUCAACAACGGAUCUCUUGGCUCUC